GGUGGUGGCUCAAUGGUAGAGCACUUGCCUAGUAUAUGUGAGGUACUGGGUUUGAACCUCAGCAUCA
This 67-nucleotide transfer RNA is filed under the name Marmota monax (woodchuck). Its description in RNAcentral is "tRNA.Thr". The record is from RNAcentral. Lineage: Eukaryota; Metazoa; Chordata; Mammalia; Rodentia; Sciuridae.